AAUCAACGCUGGCGGCGUGCCUCAGACAUGCAAGUCGAACGAUUAAAGCUCUCUUCGGAGAGUGUAUAGAGUGGCGCACGGGUGAGUAACACGUAAGUAAUCUACCCUCGAGUGGGGAAUAACAACCGGAAACGGUUGCUAAUACCGCAUAAUGCAGCGGCACCGCAAGGUGACAGUUGUUAAAGAUUUAUCGCUUGAGGAGGAGCUUGCGGCAGAUUAGCUAGUUGGUAGGGUAACGGCUUACCAAGGCUACGAUCUGUAACCGGUCUAAGAGGACGGUCGGUCACACUGACACUGAAUAACGGGUCAGACUCCUACGGGAGGCAGCAGUCGGGAAUUUUGGGCAAUGGGCGAAAGCCUGACCCAGCAACGCCGCGUGAAGGAUGAAGUAUUUCGGUAUGUAAACUUCGAAAGAAUAGGAAGAAUUAAUGACGGUACUAUUUAUAAGGUCCGGCUAACUACGUGCCAGCAGCCGCGGUAAAGUCGAUAUCCG
RNAcentral lists this ribosomal RNA (493 nucleotides) under uncultured bacterium. RNAcentral describes it as "bacterial SSU rRNA". It matches the Rfam family "Bacterial small subunit ribosomal RNA", at positions 32 to 537 of the family's 1533-position model. The record is from RNAcentral.